AUCCAGUGGAUGAGUCGCAAAUAGGACGAAAUGCGCAGCCUGGAU
This 45-nucleotide non-coding RNA is filed under the name Trichobilharzia regenti. The record is from RNAcentral. Lineage: Eukaryota; Metazoa; Platyhelminthes; Trematoda; Strigeidida; Schistosomatidae.